Molecule: ribosomal RNA, 426 nt
Filed under: uncultured Caryophanales bacterium
Lineage: Bacteria; Bacillati; Bacillota; Bacilli; Caryophanales
Description: uncultured Bacillales bacterium partial 16S ribosomal RNA
Rfam family: Bacterial small subunit ribosomal RNA
Source: RNAcentral
UAGGGAAUCUUCGGCAAUGGACGAAAGUCUGACCGAGCAACGCCGCGUGAGUGAGGAAGGUCUUCGGAUCGUAAAGCUCUGUUGCCAGGGAAGAAGGGCGAGGAGAGUAACUGCUCUUCGCUUGACGGUACCUGAGAAGAAAGCCCCGGCUAACUACGUGCCAGCAGCCGCGGUAAUACGUAGGGGGCAAGCGUUGUCCGGAAUUAUUGGGCGUAAAGCGCGCGCAGGCGGUUCUUUAAGUCUGGUGUAUAAGCCCAGGGCUCAACCUUGGGACGCACGGGAAACUGGGGGACUGGAGUGCAGGAGAGGAAAGUGGAAUUCCACGUGUAGCGGUGAAAUGCGUAGAGAUGUGGAGGAACACCAGUGGCGAAGGCGACUUUCUGGCCUGUAACUGACGCUGAGGCGCGAAAGCGUGGGGAGCAAACA